RNAcentral lists this ribosomal RNA (253 nucleotides) under uncultured bacterium. RNAcentral describes it as "partial 16S ribosomal RNA". It matches the Rfam family "Bacterial small subunit ribosomal RNA", at positions 524 to 776 of the family's 1533-position model. The record is from RNAcentral.
UACGAACUGUGCAACCGUUAAUCGGAAUUACUGGGCGUAAAGCGUGCGUAGACGGUUACAUAAGUCGGGUGUGAAAGCCCCGGGCUCAACCUGGGAAUUGCAUUCGAGACUGCGUAGCUAGGGUGCGGAAGAGGGAAGCGGAAUUUCCGGUGUAGCGGUGAAAUGCGUAGAUAUCGGAAGGAACACCAGUGGCGAAAGCGGCUUCCUGGUCCAGCACCGACGUUCAGGCACGAAAGCGUGGGGAGCAAACAGG